This 262-nucleotide ribosomal RNA is filed under the name uncultured bacterium. Its description in RNAcentral is "partial 16S ribosomal RNA". It matches the Rfam family "Bacterial small subunit ribosomal RNA", at positions 515 to 776 of the family's 1533-position model. The record is from RNAcentral.
CCGCGGUAAGACAGAGGGUGCAAACGUUGUUCGGAAUUACUGGGCGUAAAGCGCGUGUAGGCGGCUUGGCAAGUCGGGUGUGAAAGCCCCGGGCUCAACCUGGGAAGUGCACUCGAAACUGCUUGGCUCGAGUACUGGAGAGGGAAGCGGAAUUCUCGGUGUAGAGGUGAAAUUCGUAGAUAUCGAGAGGAACACCGGUGGCGAAGGCGGCUUCCUGGACAGUCACUGACGCUGAGACGCGAAAGCGUGGGGAGCAAACAGG